This 1143-nucleotide ribosomal RNA is filed under the name Boophis albilabris. RNAcentral describes it as "partial 16S ribosomal RNA". It matches the Rfam family "Bacterial large subunit ribosomal RNA", at positions 700 to 2561 of the family's 2925-position model. The record is from RNAcentral. Lineage: Eukaryota; Metazoa; Chordata; Amphibia; Anura; Mantellidae.
UUUUAGUUUGCCCUCCCGAAAGUAAGUGAGCUACUUCAAAAUAGCAUUUAGAGCCAACCCAUCUCUGUUGCAAAAGAGUGGGACAAUUUUCAAGUAGAGGUGAUAGACCUACCGAACUUAGAGAUAGCUGGUUAUUUAAGAAAAGAAUUUUAGUUCAGCCCUAAGUCUUUUAUUAAUUAAAAAAUCUUCCUAGACUUAGGAGUUAUUCAAAUAAGGCACAGCUUAUUUGAAAAAGGACACAACCUAAAACACAGGGUAAAAUAAACUGAUACUUUAACAAGUGGGCCUAAAAGCAGCCACCUUUUAAAAAGCGUCAAAGCUUAUUAAUAUUAACUUUCCUAAUACUCUUUNUAAUUUUAACCCUUAUUUAAUAUUAAAUUACNCCAUAAAUUUAUGGAAGCUAUUAUGCUAGAACAAGUAACAAGAAAAAGAUUUUCUCCAAAACGUAAGCUUAAGCCCCAAUAGACAAACUACCGGCAAUUAACGUUAAUGAACCAAGUAUAGCAACACUAACAAGAAAACUCUAUACAAAUUAACGUCAACCUUACACCAGAACAUUUAUGGAAAGAUUAAAAGGAUAAGAAGGAACUCGGCAAACUUUGAUCCCGCCUGUUUACCAAAAACAUCGCCUCUUGUUUAAAUAUAAGAGGUCCAGCCUGCCCAGUGACAAGAUUUAACGGCCGCGGUACUCUGACCGUGCGAAGGUAGCAUAAUCACUUGUUCUUUAAAUGAGGACUAGUAUCAACGGCACCACGAGGAUCUUACUGUCUCCUNCCCCCAAUCAGUGAAACUAAUCUCCCCGUGAAGAAGCGGGGAUAANANUAUAAGACGAGAAGACCCCAUGGAGCUUUAAACCCGAAGACACCCGUUUAUUUAAAAUCNUAUUAUUUGUACGGUUAUNGCUCAUUCGAUUUUAGGUUGGGGUGACCUCGGAGUAUAAAUUAACCUCCAUGAAGAAAAGACUAAUAAUCUUAUCAGAGAAUUACACUUCCAAGAAUUAAUAAACUAAUUUAAUAUGAUCCAUUAUUUGAUCAACGAACCAAGUUACCCUGGGGAUAACAGCGCAAUCCAUCUCAAGAGCCCCUAUCGAAAGAUGGGUUUACGACCUCGAUGUUGGAUCAGGGUAUCCUAGUGGUGCAGCAG